UAGGGAAUCUUCCACAAUGGACGAAAGUCUGAUGGAGCAACGCCGCGUGAGUGAAGAAGGUUUUCGGAUCGUAAAGCUCUGUUGUUGGUGAAGAAGGGUAGAGGCAGUAACUGGUCUUUAUUUGACGGUAAUCAACCAGAAAGUCACGGCUAACUACGUGCCAGCAGCCGCGGUAAUACGUAGGUGGCAAGCGUUGUCCGGAUUUAUUGGGCGUAAAGCGAGCGCAGGCGGAAUGAUAAGUCUGAUGUGAAAGCCCACGGCUCAACCGUGGAACUGCAUCGGAAACUGUCAUUCUUGAGUGCAGAAGAGGAGAGUGGAACUCCAUGUGUAGCGGUGGAAUGCGUAGAUAUAUGGAAGAACACCAGUGGCGAAGGCGGCUCUCUGGUCUGCAACUGACGCUGAGGCUCGAAAGCAUGGGUAGCGAACAGGAUUAGGAUACCCUGGUAGUCCAUGCCGUAAACGAUGAGCGCUAGGUGUUGGGGACUUUCCGGUGCCUCAGUGCCGCAGCAAACGCAUUAA
RNAcentral lists this ribosomal RNA (519 nucleotides) under uncultured bacterium. Its description in RNAcentral is "partial 16S ribosomal RNA". It matches the Rfam family "Bacterial small subunit ribosomal RNA", at positions 355 to 863 of the family's 1533-position model. The record is from RNAcentral.